RNAcentral lists this unclassified non-coding RNA (298 nucleotides) under uncultured Pleosporales. RNAcentral describes it as "sequence contains ITS1". The stretch from base 1 to 105 matches the Rfam family "5.8S ribosomal RNA", at positions 50 to 154 of the family's 154-position model. The record is from RNAcentral. Lineage: Eukaryota; Fungi; Ascomycota; Dothideomycetes; Pleosporales.
GAAAUGCGAUAAGUAGUGUGAAUUGCAGAAUUCAGUGAAUCAUCGAAUCUUUGAACGCACAUUGCGCCCUUUGGUAUUCCUUAGGGCAUGCCUGUUCGAGCGUCAUCUGACCCCUCAAGCACCGCUUGGUAUUGGGCGUUUGUCCCGCCUCGGGCGCGGACUCGCCUCAAAAACAUUGGCGGCCUGUGUCCUGGCUUCGAGCGCAGCAGACGCGCGCACCGUCCCCGGCACCGGCGUCCAGCAAGACGCACCCCACAAGUUUGACCUCGGAUCAGGUAGGGAUACCCGCUGAACUUAA